UGGGGAAUAUUGCACAAUGGGCGCAAGCCUGAUGCAGCCAUGCCGCGUGUAUGAAGAAGGCCUUCGGGUUGUAAAGUACUUUCAGCGGGGAGGAAGGUGUUGUGGUUAAUAACCUCAGCAAUUGACGUUACCCGCAGAAGAAGCACCGGCUAACUCCGUGCCAGCAGCCGCGGUAAUACGGAGGGUGCAAGCGUUAAUCGGAAUUACUGGGCGUAAAGCGCACGCAGGCGGUCUGUCAAGUCGGAUGUGAAAUCCCCGGGCUCAACCUGGGAACUGCAUCCAAAACUGGCAGGCUUGAGUCUUGUAGAGGGGGGUAGAAUUCCAGGUGUAGCGGUGAAAUGCGUAGAGAUCUGGAGGAAUACCGGUGGCGAAGGCGGCCCCCUGGACAAAGACUGACGCUCAGGUGCGAAAGCGUGGGGAGCAAACA
This 427-nucleotide ribosomal RNA is filed under the name uncultured bacterium. RNAcentral's name for it is "partial 16S ribosomal RNA". It matches the Rfam family "Bacterial small subunit ribosomal RNA", at positions 355 to 774 of the family's 1533-position model. The record is from RNAcentral.